Molecule: ribosomal RNA, 431 nt
Filed under: bacterium
Lineage: Bacteria
Description: partial 16S ribosomal RNA
Rfam family: Bacterial small subunit ribosomal RNA
Source: RNAcentral
UGGGGAAUAUUGGACAAUGGGCGCAAGCCUGAUCCAGCCAUGCCGCGUGUGUGAAGAAGGCCUUUUUGGUUGUAAAGCACUUUAAGCGAGGAGGAGGCUACUUGGAUUAAUACUCUAGGAUAGUGGACGUUACUCGCAGAAUAAGCACCGGCUAACUCUGUGCCAGCAGCCGCGGUAAUACAGAGGGUGCGAGCGUUAAUCGGAUUUACUGGGCGUAAAGCGUGCGUAGGCGGCUUUUUAAGUCGGAUGUGAAAUCCCUGAGCUAAACUUAGGAAUUGCAUUCGAUACUGGGAAGCUAGAGUAUGGGAGAGGAUGGUAGAAUUCCAGGUGUAGCGGUGAAAUGCGUAGAGAUCUGGAGGAAUACCGAUGGCGAAGGCAGCCAUCUGGCCUAAUACUGACGCUGAGGUACGAAAGCAUGGGGAGCAAACAGG